UUUUUAUUGCAUCUUGUUUAAGAGGAUGCAAACCAACAUAGAACAAUAAAACAGAAGGACAGUCAAAACAGGUUAUGUUUGAUCCUCUCAGCAAGGAAAUGUACACAUUUAGGCUCAAGUUGUGAUUUACAUCAGAAAAAUCAAAUAGUGAUAUUCAAACUACAGAAAAGGGCUAUUCAUUACUAAGAUCUAAAUUCAACAUUUUGAUUGAAUAAUUGGCAAGCCACUAUUUAAUUAGACACUUACAUUUACCAGGUGAAGCUUUAGGUUUGAACAGAUAAUAUCCAUGUGCUUAAUUUAGAGAAGACUGUUUUAUUGUAAGUACACAUGCAUGGUUGAACACUGAACAUCAAUUCCGAUUCUAGUAUAGAUAAAAAAAUCGUAUCACCUGCCAACAAAGCAGAAACACACCAGCACCCUUAUUUGCCAUCACAUUAGUAUAUCCAGGGAGUAUGCUGGAGAAACUUCACUCUGCACUGCAAUAGGACACCGAGUAACUCAAUAUGUUAUCAGGAAGUGCAUUCAGCUAAACAAAGACAUCUAGAAUGAGACGUAUCCAAAAGAAACUGCAUUUUCCGCUUCAAUAGGACAUCAAAGUAACUCAAGGCAAGCAUGUACAAUUAUCUUCAGUCCCGGAGAGAAUUCAAGUAUGUUCAUAAGAGUCACUUCAUAUUUCGUUUCAUUUAUGCAAGUAGAUGAAUAAAAUCAUGCAGUAGGGGAAGAACACAAAUCUCAAUCAAAAUAUUGUAUCACUCGGGUGUUAGAUCCAUCCCAUGCCGUUCAGUGGAAUAGGACUACGUGCCAGGGAACAACAUACCUAAAAAUGAACUUGAAUAUGCUCUAACCAUACAAAACAACCAGAGAAAAGGAUUAAAAUACCAAUAAGAUCUGUACUAAACUAACAUGAGAGAGAGUGAGAGAGAUAUGCAGGAUGGUAGUUGGGCAUAGUUGAUACUUGAUAGUAUGGACCAUGACUGCAGCUAUUCGUACUAAACUAAUUAACAUGAGAGGUAGAGAAGCCUGCCGGACUUGCUGCAAUGGAGGAGACGGCUGGAGACGAACAAACCUUCCUACAACGCAUAAAUUAGAGAUUCCAACCAAGCUAACUCAAAAACUUGUUCAGACCUAAGGAUAUGAAUUAAGGAAGGAGAGCCCCCCAC
RNAcentral lists this long non-coding RNA (1160 nucleotides) under Triticum aestivum (bread wheat). Its description in RNAcentral is "long non-coding RNA (TAES_LNC020542)". Lineage: Eukaryota; Viridiplantae; Streptophyta; Magnoliopsida; Poales; Poaceae. The record is from RNAcentral.